Molecule: ribosomal RNA, 427 nt
Filed under: uncultured bacterium
Lineage: Bacteria
Description: partial 16S ribosomal RNA
Rfam family: Bacterial small subunit ribosomal RNA
Source: RNAcentral
UGGGGAAUAUUGCACAAUGGGCGCAAGCCUGAUGCAGCCAUGCCGCGUGUAUGAAGAAGGCCUUCGGGUUGUAAAGUACUUUCAGCGAGGAGGAAGGCGUUGUGGUUAAUAACCGCAGCGAUUGACGUUACUCGCAGAAGAAGCACCGGCUAACUCCGUGCCAGCAGCCGCGGUAAUACGGAGGGUGCAAGCGUUAAUCGGAAUUACUGGGUGUAAAGCGCACGCAGGCGGUCUGUCAAGUCGGAUGUGAAAUCCCCGGGCUCAACCUGGGAACUGCAUCCGAAACUAGCAGGCUAGAGUCUUGUAGAGGGGGGUAGAAUUCCAGGUGUAGCGGUGAAAUGCGUAGAGAUCUGGAGGAAUACCGGUGGCGAAGGCGGCCCCCUGGACAAAGACUGACGCUCAGGUGCGAAAGCGUGGGGAGCAAACA